Molecule: ribosomal RNA, 395 nt
Filed under: uncultured bacterium
Lineage: Bacteria
Description: partial 16S ribosomal RNA
Rfam family: Bacterial small subunit ribosomal RNA
Source: RNAcentral
UGGGGAAUAUUGCACAAUGGGCGCAAGCCUGAUGCAGCCAUGCCGCGUGUAUGAAGAAGGCCUUCGGGUUGUAAAGUACUUUCAGCGAGGAGGAAGGCGUUGUGGUUAAUAACCGCAACGAUUGACGUUACUCGCAGAAGAAGCACCGGCUAACUCCGUGCCAGCAGCCGCGGUAAUACGGAGGGUGCAAGCGUUAAUCGGAAUUACUGGGCGUAAAGCGCACGCAGGCGGUCUGUCAAGUCGGAUGUGAAAUCCCCGGGCUCAACCUGGGAACUGCAUCCGAAACUGGCAGGCUAGAGUCUUGUAGAGGGGGGUAGAAUUCCAGGUGUAGCGGUGAAAUGCGUAGAGAUCUGGAGGAAUACCGGUGGCGAAGGCGGCCCCCUGGACAAAGAUUG